Molecule: long non-coding RNA, 899 nt
Filed under: Astyanax mexicanus (Mexican tetra)
Lineage: Eukaryota; Metazoa; Chordata; Actinopteri; Characiformes; Acestrorhamphidae
Description: lncRNA (ENSAMXG00005009284.1)
Source: RNAcentral
GCAAAUUUAAGUAUUACUAAAAGAGCUCCCAGAUACUGAACCCAGCCUCAGAUACUAGAGCUUUAAGCCGAGGUCAGACUCAGUCCAGUCCACCAUGCUGCACCUCUUUGUGAUCGGGAUUGUGAUGGCCAACACCUUUAUUACUGUGGUUUACUGGAUCUACAUCCUGACACAGGCCUUUUACAGGGGGACUGAAGAGGAGUCGAAAUCUAAGGAAAGCCCAUCAUAACCAUGAUCUUCUGAUCACGACAGAAGUAUAGUGCAGCUUAAGAGUAUAUUUAGAGGAUAUUUUUAGCAUUCUAUUAUUUGUAUACUUGUUUAUUAUUACUUUUUUUAGUUUAGCUUGUAGUCAUCUUUCGAUUGAUUUAGGAUUAGUGGCUCCACUGGCUGCAGAGCUUCAUCUCCAUCAGAGCUUCAGCUUCAGGUAAUGUAUUUUUUUAUCUGUGCUUCUGGAAAGCCUCGGCGGAGUACCGGGAAAAUGCCGGGAACAAAAUACUUUCUCCUGUUUGGCUGUGGGUAUUACAGCUUAUUUUGGCAGAGGCUGAGAUUAAACUCUGCGCAGAUUGUGUGACGGAGUGGCUUUGCUUUUACAGAUGGUGUUUGUCUCUUUCUCUCUCUCAUUUCUCUCUCUCUGUUCAGAUUGCUUUGGUUGCCAGAUUGAAGAAAAUACCAUUCACCCUCUCCAUUCUGCCCACACGACUCCAGCCGAGUGUACAGAAGGACGUCUCAAGCUGAAGAUUCAUCCAGAUCUUCAUCCUGCAAAAGUGACAUCCAUUAAAAGCAGCUUUCCAGCAGCCAACACCUCCUUAACGGUGAUCCUGUGGAACUUCCUGCUGUCCCAGGUCUUCUGCAAGAAGCUACCAGCACCACCCCCAUCUGAGGAGCAAGUGCCCGUCUGA